RNAcentral lists this ribosomal RNA (451 nucleotides) under uncultured bacterium. RNAcentral describes it as "bacterial SSU rRNA". It matches the Rfam family "Bacterial small subunit ribosomal RNA", at positions 354 to 796 of the family's 1533-position model. The record is from RNAcentral.
GUGAGGAAUAUUGCGCAAUGGGGGAAACCCUGACGCAGCAACGCCGCGUGGGUGAAGAAGGCUUUCGGGUUGUAAAGCCCUGUCAGGUGGGAAGAACCUUCUGCAGGUGAAUAGUCUGCGGAACUGACGGUACCACCAAAGGAAGCACCGGCUAACUCCGUGCCAGCAGCCGCGGUAAGACGGAGGGUGCAAGCGUUGUUCGGAAUCACUGGGCGUAAAGCGCGUGUAGGCGGUCCGAUAAGUCGAAUGUGAAAGCCCGGGGCUCAACCUCGGAAGUGCAUUCGAAACUGUCGGGCUUGAGUACGGGAGAGGGAAGUGGAAUUCCUGGUGUAGAGGUGAAAUUCGUAGAUAUCAGGAGGAACACCGGUGGCGAAGGCGGCUUCCUGGACCGAUACUGACGCUGAGACGCGAAAGCGUGGGGAGCAAACAGGAUUAGAAACCCCUGUAGUCC